Molecule: ribosomal RNA, 372 nt
Filed under: uncultured organism
Description: partial 16S ribosomal RNA
Rfam family: Bacterial small subunit ribosomal RNA
Source: RNAcentral
GUAGGUGGCAAGCGUUGUCCGGAAUUAUUGGGCGUAAAGCGCGCGCAGGCGGUUCUUUAAGUCUGAUGUGAAAGCCCACGGCUCAACCGUGGAGGGUCAUUGGAAACUGGAGAACUUGAGUACAGAAGAGGAAAGCGGAAUUCCACGUGUAGCGGUGAAACGCGUAGAGAUGUGGAGGAACACCAGUGGCGAAGGCGGCUUUCUGGUCUGUAACUGACGCUGAGGCGCGAAAGCGUGGGGAGCAAACAGGGAUUAGAUACCCUGGUAGUCCACGCCGUAAACGAUGAGUGCUAAGUGUUAGGGGGUUUCCGCCCCCUUAGUGCUGCAGCUAACGCAUUAAGCACUCCGCCUGGGGAUACGGCCGCAAGGCUG